GAAACUUCAAACAGUUUUCUUCAACAUGUCGGUCGACUUAAAUCAAGUUGAAAGAAGAACUUGAGUCUUUGAUGUGCUUAUUGUGAAUGUAGUCCAAUACGAUCUAAUAUAAACCGAUAUACAGCAGGCUGGGACAAGGUGGUGUUUUAACAGAGGGGUGGAACAUCGAAAUAGAGAUCAAUAAUUAUCUAGGUGGUGUACACUAAAAAUGUAGCAAAGUAUGUUAGCGAUGUGAACACCUCAAAUGAGAAGUGCUAUCGGUAGAUAUAAUCUGAUGUUUACUAACCCAAGCUUACCUUCUUCCAUUGCACACCUAUCAAUAAACAUAUGUUUCAAGAUGACCGGAGUGUUGUGUUGACAGGCAUUAAACCCAAUUCUAUUCCAGUGAUUCAUUAUGGAACUUCACAUAACUAAUAUUAUAUUUAUUGUAUAUCGAUAUAUUGGGAUGGACAUACGCCUUGUUCUAGAAAACGUAUACGGUCAUGGUACAAAAUAGAAAUAUUUGAAAUACAAAGGAAUAUGAAUGACAAAUCACCACCUGUUAACCAAUUUCUAAAGUUCCCAUCCUCAAUGCGAUUUGAUUCUUUUCUAUACCAGUGAAUGUUACCUAACGAAUUUGUUUGUUGUACUUCCAGCAGAUAGGUGACACACACGAUUUACAACAAACAGUUCAGAUAAAUUGGAUUUUAAGGUUAACAAAAGAAAGUAAAAGAAGGUCGGUAAUCCGAUAAACACAUUGUUAAAAAGAUGAAAGAUAUAUUGUAAGCACAGGUAGAUACCGUAAAGUAAAAGUACGUGUAUAUUGGUAUAAA
This is a long non-coding RNA of Patella vulgata (common limpet), 812 nucleotides long. RefSeq lists it as uncharacterized. The record is from RefSeq and is a predicted model, not a curated record. The transcript has 2 exons. NCBI's taxonomy places the organism in Eukaryota, Metazoa, Mollusca, Gastropoda, Patellidae.